UACGUAGGGUGCAGGCGUUAAUCGGAAUUACUGGGCGUAAAGCGUGCGCAGGCGGUUUGUUAAGACAGGUGUGAAAUCCCCGGGCUUAACCUGGGAACUGCGCUUGUUACUGGCAAGCUGGAGUGUGGCAGAGGGGGGUGGAAUUCCACGUGUAGCAGUGAAAUGCGUAGAGAUGUGGAGGAACACCGAUGGCGAAGGCAGCCCCCUGGGCUAACACUGACGCUCAUGCACGAAAGCGUGGGGAGCAAACAGG
Molecule: ribosomal RNA, 253 nt
Filed under: uncultured bacterium
Lineage: Bacteria
Description: partial 16S ribosomal RNA
Rfam family: Bacterial small subunit ribosomal RNA
Source: RNAcentral